UAAGCAAUACCUGAGUAAAGUGGCGCACGGGUGAGUAACACGUGACUAACCUACCCUGGAGUGGGGGAUAACUGAGGGAAACCUUAGCUAAUACCGCAUAAUACCUACGGGUCAAAGGAGCAAUUCGCUUCAGGAGGGGGUCGCGGCCGAUUAGUUAGUUGGCGGGGUAAUGGCCCACCAAGACAGUGAUCGGUAUCCGGCCUGAGAGGGCGCACGGACACACUGGAACUGAAACACGGUCCAG
This 244-nucleotide ribosomal RNA is filed under the name uncultured bacterium. RNAcentral describes it as "partial 16S ribosomal RNA". It matches the Rfam family "Bacterial small subunit ribosomal RNA", at positions 77 to 334 of the family's 1533-position model. The record is from RNAcentral.